AGAAAUGGUCCCAUCCCCACCCCCGCCCUGUCCUCUCUCCCACCACAGAUGGCUGCAAUGGAGGCAAACAAGAAAGCUGUAGAAGUUGCCAUGAAGGGAUAUGAACACUUUUUGCAGAAGCUGGACCAUGACCACCAGAGCAUGAACCACUGCCUAAGUGUGAAGCCUGCGGAAAUGCAUCAACGCCUGGAGGGGAAACGCCAGGAGUUGCUGGAGUGCUGCUGGAGGGAGCUGCUGGGCGAGGACCUCCAGAAACAGGCUGCCCUGAAGGAGCUGAAGCAGGGACUGGCCAGUCAGAUGGCUCAGUUCCUAAUGGCCUACAGAGAGCGCUUUAAAAAGAAGACGUACAUGUGGUGGGGCAUGCGCAUUGUAGAGGGUGCCGUGGUAGUGGCGGGUGGGAGUGUUGGAGGACGCAUCGGUUUGAGUGUAGCUGCGGCUAUGGUGGCGGGUGCAGAACGUUUUAUGGGGCUAGAUAGAUAGAUAGAUAGAUGGGUUUAUAGGAAAAAUAUAAACAACUUACCACAGGUAGCUAGAUUUCAAAAGGACACAGUGGGGUCACCAAGAUCAAAAUCGAGCCCUGACCCAAUCGACGUCAGUCGAUAAAUAACCCUGCCCUGGCUCCUGUGCUCUGAGCCAGCCCCUGCAUCCCUCCGUUGCAAGUUUCAUUGUUUUUCAUUUUUAACAAGUGGGAGAAAAAAUGAUUUUCAUAUUUUGAGUUUGGUUGGGGUUUUUUUUUACAUUUUCUCCCCACCUGAAAAAAUGUGUGUGGAGGGGCAAUUUGGGUUUUUUUUCGCCUGCUGAUUUGAAAAUGAUACCAAUUGGUGAGGGAGGUUAGAAAACCCCAAAAUCCUAUUUUUCAGUUUAUUCUCCCAAUGAAAGCCAAAUUUUCCCACCAAAAAGUCACUUCAAAAGCAACAGUUUUCCCACAAAAAAUGUUUUUUGUGAUUAAAAUUCAUGUUUUUGGUGACAGUCUCAGUUGAAAUAUUUCCAUCAGCUGGGAGGAGGGAGGAUCUAAGUACUGGGUUUUCAUUUGGGGGGGAAAGGGCUGUUUGAAUUCAUGUGAACAGGCCCAUGUUACCAUCCAAGUGAGGACAGGACAAUUGUGCUCUUAACUCAUGUAGCUGGGGUCUGAACGUCUGCACACUGCCUGUCAAACGGGUCGCUCACACACCUUUCCCCUGAGCAGAGAUCAGGCCGGAGGGUUAAAGAAAGAGAAACAGGAAUCUCCUCGCAAUGGUGUGUCCCAUUCCCUCCCCGCAUGAGCCAGCCAGUCCCCUGGCCUGGGGCUGGAUUGGAGCCGGCGCCCCCUAGAGGGGAAAGGCCCCAUGUCCCUUUCAGCCUGUCUUACAGUGGCUCAAGAGCGUGGGCACCAACCUCAGGGAAGACAGGUAAGAAACAGGGCGCAAAACCCAAACUGGCUGUGAGCCCCACACUUAGAUUUCACCAACCCAGUAUCAAGUGUGAACUCCUCGGGUGCUUUAACAGCCUUAACAUGGAGUCCCAGACAGUCCCCUGAGGCACCCAAAUCUGUCUGGUCACCCAGGUGAGGCUGCCCUUGUGAUAGACGGUCCCUUACACCAGAGAUCACAGCAAUAUUCAGGUUACUCCCAGCCCCAAAGGACCCGUCACCUACCCCACAUCAAUUGCACCAUAGAUCUCACACCACAGACAACGCUUGUAGCCAAUCCUGUAAUAAACUGUCUCCAGAUGUAUUAAAUAGGAGAGUU
RNAcentral lists this long non-coding RNA (1727 nucleotides) under Chrysemys picta bellii (western painted turtle). RNAcentral describes it as "lncRNA (ENSCPBG00000025666.1)". Lineage: Eukaryota; Metazoa; Chordata; Testudines; Emydidae. The record is from RNAcentral.